This 213-nucleotide unclassified non-coding RNA is filed under the name plant metagenome. Its description in RNAcentral is "partial contains small subunit ribosomal RNA, internal transcribed spacer 1, and 5.8S ribosomal RNA". The record is from RNAcentral.
UUUCCGUAGGUGAACCUGCGGAAGGAUCAUUCAUAAUAAGUGUUUUAUGGCACUUUUUUAAAUCCAUAUCCACCUUGUGUGCAAUGUCAGGGUUGAUUUUUCUCUCGAGAGGAUCAACCCCAAACAUCAACUAUAUGUCAACUCUUUGUCUGAAAAAUAUUAUGAAUAAAACAAUUCAAAAUACAACUUUCAACAACGGAUCUCUUGGCUCUC